RNAcentral lists this ribosomal RNA (461 nucleotides) under uncultured bacterium. RNAcentral's name for it is "bacterial SSU rRNA". It matches the Rfam family "Bacterial small subunit ribosomal RNA", at positions 28 to 507 of the family's 1533-position model. The record is from RNAcentral.
GAUGAACGCUGGCGGCGCGCCUAACACAUGCAAGUCGAACGGCACCCCUCUCCGGAGGGAAGCGAGUGGCGAACGGCUGAGUAACACGUGGAGAACCUGCCCCCCUCCCCCGGGAUAGCCGCCCGAAAGGACGGGUAAUACCGGAUACCCCGGGGUGCCGCAUGGCACCCCGGCUAAAGCCCCGACGGGAGGGGAUGGCUCCGCGGCCCAUCAGGUAGACGGUCGGGGUGACGGCCCACCGUGCCGACAACGGGUAGCCGGGUUGAGAGACCGACCGGCCAGAUUGGGACUGAGACACGGCCCAGACUCCUACGGGAGGCAGCAGUGGGGAAUCUUGCGCAAUGGGGGGAACCCUGACGCAGCGACGCCGCGUGCGGGACGGAGGCCUUCGGGUCGUAAACCGCUUUCAGCAGGGAAGAGACGAGACUGUACCUGCAGAAGAAGCCCCGGCUAACUACGUG